RNAcentral lists this small RNA (995 nucleotides) under Rattus norvegicus (Norway rat). Its description in RNAcentral is "uncharacterized LOC102556222". Lineage: Eukaryota; Metazoa; Chordata; Mammalia; Rodentia; Muridae. The record is from RNAcentral.
AGAGGCUGCUCCUUGCUGUGUACACCAAUCAAGACAAACCUAUCUAUUGAAGGUCAGACUCUGGUCUCUCUUUACCUUCUGUCUCUGUUUGCUCAGAAAUCUAACAUUGAGGCUUCAGUGACUUCAGCUUCUAUCAACUAAAACCCCUGGCUCCAGUCAUACAGCCACAAGAAAAGAACCCAGCUAACAUCUGGAGGCGAGAAUUCUUCUCAGAUGUGUUUCAAUUGAAGAAGCCCUUAAGGACGAUCAGGAGGAGAUUAAUGGUGAUUGCAUCUCCAGAGCCUGUUUGUUCCGUAAUGAACUUGGCACUACCUCAACGGCAGCUAGAUGUCAAGGAACAUGGAAGGGACCGGAGGUGGAAGAAGAGGAAGAGGAGGGCAGCCCUGACAGAGAACACAAGCUUAACCUCAGGGUGAUAGUUGGAAAGCCACUCACUCACAUUGGUAGGCAGAAGAUCUGAGCCUGUUCUGGCCCUUACACUUUAAAUAAUAUGCUGUUUACUAGUGGCAGCUGGGUAUAUCUGCCUAUAUGACAGGUAGGCAUUCAUGUGAAAAUUCCAAGUAACUUUUUGUCCUCUUUGACUUGGUUUAAUAAAAGAUUUUAUUCCACAAGUUGGUAAUGAUCGUUCAUCAAAUUGUCUGUUCUGUACCUCUGACAGAAGAGCCUAUUAGAGAAAUGUGGAAAACAUGUCAACCUCCAAUCCAAACAUUUUAGGACUGAGGGUUUUCAAAGCUAAUUUGUUCCAGACUAGUGAAGUAUAGUGUCAGCCAAACAACUUUUCUUUUCAAGGUGCUUUUCACUAUAAAUAGCAUUUUCCCCCGUAGUUUCCCAUGAGAUGGAUCAAUCUAAUCCUCAGCUCCUGUGUGAGUACAUUUGAGCACAGGAGGCAGGCUAAACUUACACAGAUAAAAAAGGAGCCCCCAGUUGCUUUGUUAAGCAUGUGCCACGCGUGGCAAUUUAGAAGAAAAUGGCUCUCAUAGGGUGUGGCACUAUUU